GAAAUACUUAAGGUGAUUUGUAUUCCUCUAUAUCCCCAACUUUAGAAAGAAUGGAAUCUAUAUGCCUGUUUAAUAUCUCUGCUAGUUUAAGGGAGAAAAUAUAAACUAAGUAAGAUGAAACCAAGUGUGGAAUAUAGUGAGAGAAACGUAGGGGUUACCCAGUCUUGUUAAUAUUAAAUUUAAAAAUAGUAUAUAAAUCCUCAUAAUUUAUAUUUUUCUCUAAAAUGUUAUCCUUGAAGGAUAGCUACAUAUCAAUAAAGUUACUUCUUUAUUGUGCUGUCUCAGAAAAAAAUUUUCCCCUUUCUUAAUCUCUGAUGAUUCUGUUUAGUAUCCAGUGUUAACUUUUGGGCUGUGAAAGUUAUCAGCAUCUUUCAGUUAGAGCAGAGCUGUUUUUCUAAAUGAUUCUGAAUAUCUUUUCUCAUUUUUAAAGGAUAUCUUAUGCAUACUAUGCCGGGAGAGAUAACCACCUGUUUUCUGUGGAGAAGUAGUUGCUGUCUUUAUUACUCCAGGUGCAUAGCAAGAAUAGUGUUCAGCGCCUGUUUUACAGUGAGGCAGCAUGCACCCUGAGCAGCGAGAGUGGCCGCAUCAGACUUCUUCCCCAGGAGCUACAUUCAGCAUCUCAGGAUCAAGACAACAUUGCUUUGAAAAGUGAUUAUGAGUGUCUGUGCUUUAUCUUGACUUUUGUGCAUCUGUAAAGCAGGAUGUAUCCUAAAGUAUCAGGAAAGCCUAAGGGAAGUUAUUUUUUGGGUCUGGGAAUGCUCAAAAAUAUCAUAUAAAUUGAUCGUAAAUGUUUCUUUGCUUUAUGCCAUUUUGGCUUAUGAAAGUUUUCCUAGAUGGUCUACUUUUUUGGAUAGUGGGGGAAACCUGUAGAUGACUGUCAUGGGGCAGAAGGGAGGACGGUUUUCAUGAGGUACUGUGAUACAGACAAGAGUUAUCAAAUCAGGGAUGGAGAUGGAAUUCCCAGGACACAUUCUGAAACUUUAGAUCCAGGCCUACCCUAGACCCUGGGCCUUGGUGUUUUCCCUGGCUUCAGACAUGGCUGUGGUAUGUGUUAGGUAUGUGACUUUGGCAGAGUGCUCAGAAUUUUUAAGCCUCAUUUACUAAUCUAUAAAAUGAGCACCUACCUUAGGUUGAGAAUCCUUAUGACAUGCUUCUACCUAUGGGCCUUUGCACUUACUUUUGAUUAUGAUACUCUUUCCUAGACACCUACCUGCUCAUUCCUCAACCUUUACUCAAAUGUCAGCUUCUCAGCAAGGCCCUCCUGACCAUGCUGUUUACUAGUAACUUCUGGGAAUGGUGGCACAGUCCAUCCUGAGGGGGAAAGCUAUGAAAUAAAUGUGGUAGGAACAAGAGAGAGGGGCCAGAAAAUGCAAAUUGGCUACUCUCCUUCCCUACUUCCAAUCCCAGUGUGCUCCCUAUCAUAAUUUAGGUUUAACAUGAGGCAAAUUAUUCAGAGAAACUAGUCCACUAACGUAACACAGGGAAUGGACAUAUCAUGCAUUGUUUCAUCUGCCUAUGAUACAGACUUGCCUUUUGCCAUACCAGUUGUUUGAAACUGUAAGUAAGAAUAUUUUCCUCACUGAAAUGCCUGUAGUACCUGCCACUGAAAUGUUAACUCGUUAUGCCAUGUUAUAAAGAGGAAAGUGAUGUUUUGGGCCCUUUGAUUUUUAUGAAAUGGGCCAUAGUAUUUUGAGGUGGAAGUGAUCUUGGCGAUGAGCCAGCUCUAGCCCUUAUUUUACAAAACGCAGCUUGGGACUUCCAUUUGAUGAGCAGCAGGGCCGACUGUCUAGGCUGGGACCGAGGACUGACGCCACUUCAUAUUCUUGUCAUACAGCUAAUCUAAGAAGACUGAGGUGGGGAAGGUGUCACUGAAGUAUCAGGGGAAGAGAACAUAAAACUCUGAUGUUUGAAGUUUCACCUCUCUUCUUAUUCCCACUACUUAUUACAGUGAAACAAAGUUUUGAUCCAAUUGGUUUGAGUUAAAAGCAUUGUUUUUUCCCUUGAUGGAGGAAACUGGUUGUAAUUAAUACCACAUGAAUAGUGUUUGGAUAGCAAAGAAGAACACUAAAUACAACAAUGCGGGUGAAAUGUUAGCACGUAAGUAAUACUAAAAUAAAAUUAGUAUAGAAGGGAAAUAGAAAUCUAUAGUACUAAGUCAGCAGAAAUAAUUACGAUCUUUUUGGCUAGGAUAGUUCAAUAAAAAUUUUUAUAUCGAGUGCCUAUACUGUGCUGGUGUGUAAGUAAGUUUCUCUAAAAGCUAUAGGAAGCUAAUGAUAUUUUUUACUUAGAAGAAUAAGAAGAAUCAAUAACUUGAUAACCAAAAUGAAUAAUUUGUUCCUAUUUGGGUACUUUAAAAAAAUUAAUUGCC
Molecule: long non-coding RNA, 2368 nt
Organism: Mustela putorius furo (domestic ferret)
Lineage: Eukaryota; Metazoa; Chordata; Mammalia; Carnivora; Mustelidae
Source: Ensembl